GGGAGUGUAGCUCAGUGGUAGAGUGCCUGUCUAGCAGGCACAAGACCCUGGGUUUGAUUUCCAGCACCA
This 69-nucleotide transfer RNA is filed under the name Ictidomys tridecemlineatus (thirteen-lined ground squirrel). RNAcentral describes it as "Spermophilus tridecemlineatus (thirteen-lined ground squirrel) tRNA". It matches the Rfam family "tRNA". From Rfam's summary of the family: Transfer RNA (tRNA) molecules are approximately 80 nucleotides in length. The record is from Rfam by way of RNAcentral. Lineage: Eukaryota; Metazoa; Chordata; Mammalia; Rodentia; Sciuridae.